AUAUAAAUGCUAAAAAAAACAAAAAAACAACCAAGAGUGUUUACCCCCUUUCCUGCUCCAAAAGUCAACAUCCAGAACUUCCUGUAGACAGCUGGACAAAAUACAGAUCAAGAACAUAUCAGGUAAGAGCAGGGAGAAGAGGAAGACCCCACCUUUAAUAGAAAAUUGGGAAUAAAUAAAGACAUGGAGUUUUCCAGCCAUCAGGGCAGAAAGCUCAGAGGACGGAUUGUCUCUUAGCCCACCUGAGCAGAGGCAGGGAAGUAAAAUCUGAGGUCCUCUAGUGGCAAAAUACUGUACAGCAUCAGUGAAACCUGGGGUAUAUAGCUGUAUUAGCUCUAAACAGUAUAUAUCACAUUAUCAAGUGGCAAUGUUCAUAACGUUGCACACUUGUCAAACACUCGUUUUUGUCCUUCACUCCUGUUGGGUUUUUUCAUUGUCACAGAUAUCCCCAACGUUGGAGGUGUGGUUCAGGACAUAUUCAACACUCAAACACACAAAACAACUGGAGUUUAUAUACAGAAGAAGCCAGAGGACCACAAAACCUGAGUAACUUUGUAUUCAGUGACUUACCUACAGUAGCAUGUACAUGUGUUGUCAUGACAGUGACUUACCUACAUUAGCAUGUACAUGUGUUGUCAUGACAGGCUAAACAUAGGCUAAUGUGCCCUACCGUGGUCAUCAGGGAAUUGUGGGAGUUUGGUACUGCACAAGACAUUUCAAAUAAUAACACAAAUUGGAAACAAUAUAAAACGUCUCCAUCACAAUCUCAGGGUUCUUAUUGCAAACCUUCCAAGGAACAAUUGGGAACGAAGAACUAACAUUGUGAUGGAAAGCAUUGUUUCAUAGACUCUUUAAACAGACCUUUCAUUGCAAACAUACGGAAUAAAAACCUGACAUUUCACCCGUGGAUGUCCAAGAGGUGGAAUCACAGUGAACCAGGAGGCUGAUCCUAAGAGGUCCACAGUCAGAGGGGUGAAGAGUCCUACAGAAGUGCAGAAGACUGAAACCUGCUCAUAGAAACAGUCUUAUCAGAACUAUCUUGUGCCAUAAGAAAGCAUCAAGGACUCCUGGUCAUGGCUGUCUGCUGUACACUAUUUCUAUGUAACAUUUUGAAAUCAGUGAAGGAGGGGAAAUCCCAGUCUCUGGUUGAAGAGGAGGCUAGUGCAACAAACAUCAGGCUUUGGCCUUUGAGCUAUCAACAAGCCCACACUCUUUCCAGUCCCAGAAAAUCUAUCAGCAAGAACUGGGAACAUUCCUGUGGAGUGACUGCCCUUUCAGAACAGACAGCUAGGUGAGCCAUUGUGCUUUGUCAGCAGUGGGACUCACUUGGUAAACACUCGGAUACCGGUAGGCCCAUCUACCUUGAAAAACACAGUUUUUCCCUUGGGCAGCUUGACACCAUCCCACCUGGUCGGAGUUCACUUUAUCUGUACUUGUAAGUAUAGAAAACCCAGGAAAUAUUAAAAGGUCCUCCAGGGUAAAGACAGGCCUUUUCAGUCCCUCACUGGGUGAGAGAGUGGGGGUGCUGGACAUGAGGCGGGCACAGGGCCGCAGAACACAGGCAACUGCUGAUGGAUCCAAAGUCAGAAGUGACAGAAACAGAGGUGGGGAUGGCAGGUAAGGGUUGGGGGGUGGAGGACAAAGAGAAGUCCACCUGCAGCCGAUCAGAAGCCCCACCUUCGGGCCCAGUGGACAGGCCAUCGGGCAGAAAUGGUUCCAACUGCAGCUGGUAGAAGCCAGAGCCCAGAAGGGGACACACCCCUGAGGGGGACAGCGGGAUUCCGUAGGGCUGGGGAGACGGGGGGAGAUGGGCAGGGGGGGCUGUGGGACAGUGUCCCGGGCUAGGACAAUUCAGAAAGGACUCCUGAUGCUGGUCCUCCACAGUUGGGAGUUGAGUGGAGUGAGUAAACUGCCGCUCCCUCUGUGGGCUGGGACAAGGAGCACCACACAGCUCCAAAACCUCCAUCUGAACCUCAG
Long non-coding RNA from Esox lucius (northern pike), 1977 nucleotides. The record is from Ensembl. Lineage: Eukaryota; Metazoa; Chordata; Actinopteri; Esociformes; Esocidae.